UGCGCCGUGCCGCAGACCGCAGUGCAGGGACUGGGAGCAGAGCAGUAGAGUAAGCACUGAGCAAGUGAGCAGUGAGCAAUCGGUGGGAAUUCUUCUUGCAAGUCAAGCGGAUAUCAUCACUUAUUUUCAAGGGACGAAGGAUCGGAAAGUUGUCUUAUAAAUUUUAAGCUUUCUUAUCAUUAUGUUAUUUUUUGCUUUAGUAUGCCAAACAACUAGUACUUAGUAUGUUGGAUAAUUUCAAGAUUUGUCCAAUUCCAUGUUAAAUGUAUUGUGAUCUUGUUGUGCAUACUCAAUUUAUAUGUCCUAAAUAUUAAAAAUUAUUGGUA
Molecule: long non-coding RNA, 326 nt
Organism: Panicum virgatum (switchgrass)
Lineage: Eukaryota; Viridiplantae; Streptophyta; Magnoliopsida; Poales; Poaceae
Exons: 2
Source: RefSeq, a predicted model, not a curated record